RNAcentral lists this non-coding RNA (21 nucleotides) under Caenorhabditis elegans. Lineage: Eukaryota; Metazoa; Nematoda; Chromadorea; Rhabditida; Rhabditidae. The record is from RNAcentral.
UAGACUUUGUUUCCAGUUUAA